Molecule: ribosomal RNA, 2884 nt
Filed under: Allopseudospirillum japonicum
Lineage: Bacteria; Pseudomonadati; Pseudomonadota; Gammaproteobacteria; Oceanospirillales; Oceanospirillaceae
Description: bacterial LSU rRNA
Rfam family: Bacterial large subunit ribosomal RNA
Source: RNAcentral
AUAGAGUCAAGUGAUAAAGCGCAUAUGGUGGAUGCCUUGGCAGUCAGAGGCGAUGAAGGACGUGGAAACCUGCGAAAAGCUUUGGGGAGCUGGUAAACAAGCUUUGAUCCGAAGAUGUCCGAAUGGGGAAACCCACUGAGCUUGCUCAGUAUCUUGAUCUGAAUACAUAGGAUUAAGAGGCGCACCUGGGGAACUGAAACAUCUAAGUACCCAGAGGAAAAGAAAUCAACCGAGAUUCCCUUAGUAGCGGCGAGCGAACGGGGAUUAGCCCAAAAGUGCAGAUUAGUUUAGUGGAAGGUUCUGGAAAGAACGGCCGUAGAGGGUGAUAGCCCCGUACACGACAAGCUUUUUUGCAUGAAAAUGAGUAGGACGGGACACGAGAAAUCCUGUUUGAAUAUGGGGGGACCAUCCUCCAAGGCUAAAUACUCCUGACUGACCGAUAGUGAACCAGUACCGUGAGGGAAAGGUGAAAAGCACCCCGGAGAGGGGAGUGAAAUAGCUCCUGAAACCGUAUGCGUACAAGCAGUCGGAGCAGACAUGUUCUGUGACGGCGUACCUUUUGUAUAAUGGGUCAGCGACUUACAUUCAGUGGCGAGGUUAACCGUAUAGGGGAGCCGUAGCGAAAGCGAGUCCUAACCGGCGCGAGUCGCUGGAUGUAGACCCGAAACCGAGCGAUCUACCCAUGGGCAGGUUGAAGGUUGAGUAACAUCAACUGGAGGACCGAACCGGGAUCUGUUGAAAAAGAUUCGGAUGACCUGUGGGUCGGAGUGAAAGGCUAAUCAAGCUCGGAGAUAGCUGGUUCUCCUCGAAAGCUAUUUAGGUAGCGCCUCGAGCGAAUACCAUUGGGGGUAGAGCACUGUUUGGGCUAGGGGGUCAUCCCGACUUACCAACCCCAUGCAAACUCCGAAUACCAAUGAGUACUACUCGGGAGACACACGGCGGGUGCUAACGUCCGUCGUGAAAAGGGAAACAACCCAGACCGCCAGCUAAGGCCCCAAAAUUCUAGUUAAGUGGGAAACGAUGUGGGAAGGCUAAAACAGCUAGGAGGUUGGCUUAGAAGCAGCCACCCUUUAAAGAAAGCGUAAUAGCUCACUAGUCGAGUCGGCCUGCGCGGAAGAUAUAACGGGGCUAAACUAGGUGCCGAAGCUGCGGGUGCAUCUUAGGAUGCGCGGUAGAGGAGCGUUCUGUACGCCUGUGAAGGUGGAUUGAAAAGUCUGCUGGAGGUAUCAGAAGUGCGAAUGCUGACAUGAGUAACGACAAAGGGCGUGAAAAACGCCCUCGCCGGAAGACCAAGGGUUCCUAUCCCAUGCUAAUCAGGGUAGGGUGAGUCGGCCCCUAAGGCGAGGCUGAAAAGCGUAGUCGAUGGGAAACGGGUGAAUAUUCCCGUACUGCUUAUUACUGCGAUGGGGGGACGGAGAAGGCUAGGCCAGCGUGGUGAUGGUAAUCCACGUAAAAGCAGGUAGGUCGUGAUUUUAGGCAAAUCCGGAAUCACAAACCGAGAUGCGAGACGAUAAAGCUUCGGCUUUAAAGUGGUUGAUGCCCCGCUUCCAAGAAAAGCCUCUAAGCUUCAGGUAAUAAGUAACCGUACCCCAAACCGACACAGGUGGUCAGGUCGAGAAGACCAAGGCGCUUGAGAGAACUCGGGUGAAGGAACUAGGCAAAAUGGUGCCGUAACUUCGGGAGAAGGCACGCUGCAUUAAUGUGAACGCCCUGCGGCGGGAGCAUGAAGCAGUCGAAGAUACCAGGCCCCUGCAACUGUUUAUUAAAAACACAGCACUGUGCAAACACGUAAGUGGACGUAUACGGUGUGACGCCUGCCCGGUGCCGGAAGGUUAAUUGAUGGGGUUAGCGCAAGCGAAGCUCUUGAUCGAAGCCCCGGUAAACGGCGGCCGUAACUAUAACGGUCCUAAGGUAGCGAAAUUCCUUGUCGGGUAAGUUCCGACCUGCACGAAUGGCGUAAUGAUGGGGGCACUGUCUCCACCCGAGACUCAGUGAAAUUGAAAUCGCAGUGAAGAUGCUGUGUAUCCGCGGCUAGACGGAAAGACCCCGUGAACCUUUACUAUAGCUUCACAGUGGACUUUGAUGUUGCUUGUGUAGGAUAGGUGGGAGGCUAAGAAGCAGUCACGCCAGUGAUUGUGGAGCCAACCUUGAAAUACCACCCUGGCAACCUUGAGGUUCUAACUCAGAUCUGUGAUCCAGAUCGAGGACAUUGUGUGGUGGGUAGUUUGACUGGGGCGGUCUCCUCCCAAAGCGUAACGGAGGAGCGCGAAGGUACCCUCAGCAUGGUUGGAAAUCAUGCAAUGAGUGCAAGAGCAUAAGGGUGCUUGACUGUGAGACAGACACGUCGAACAGGUGCGAAAGCAGGUUCUAGUGAUCCGGUGGUUCUGUAUGGAAGGGCCAUCGCUCAACGGAUAAAAGGUACUCCGGGGAUAACAGGCUGAUACCGCCCAAGAGUUCACAUCGACGGCGGUGUUUGGCACCUCGAUGUCGGCUCAUCACAUCCUGGGGCUGAAGUCGGUCCCAAGGGUAUGGCUGUUCGCCAUUUAAAGUGGUACGCGAGCUGGGUUUAGAACGUCGUGAGACAGUUCGGUCCCUAUCUGCCGUGGACGUUGGAGAUUUGAGAAGAGUUGCUCCUAGUACGAGAGGACCGGAGUGAACGAACCUCUGGUGUUCGGGUUGUUCUGCCAAGAGCAUUGCCCGGUAGCUAAGUUCGGACGGGAUAACCGCUGAAAGCAUCUAAGCGGGAAGCCUCCUUUAAGAUAAGAUCUCCCUGAGCUUUAAGCUCCUAAAGGGCCCAGUAAGACCAACUGGUUGAUAGGUCGGGUGUGGAAGCGCUGCGAGGCGUUGAGCUAACCGAUACUAAUGACCCGUGAGGCUUGACUCU